This 460-nucleotide ribosomal RNA is filed under the name uncultured bacterium. RNAcentral's name for it is "partial 16S ribosomal RNA". It matches the Rfam family "Bacterial small subunit ribosomal RNA", at positions 338 to 795 of the family's 1533-position model. The record is from RNAcentral.
CCUACGGGAGGCAGCAGUGAGGAAUAUUGGUCAAUGGUCGUAAGCCUGAACCAGCCAAGUCGCGUGAGGGAUGAAGGUUCUAUGGAUCGUAAACCUCUUUUAUAAGGGAAUAAAGUGUGGGACGCGUCCUGUUUUGUAUGUACCUUAUGAAUAAGGAUCGGCUAACUCCGUGCCAGCAGCCGCGGUAAUACGGAGGAUCCGAGCGUUAUCCGGAUUUAUUGGGUUUAAAGGGUGCGUAGGCGGCCUUUUAAGUCAGCGGUGAAAGUCUGUGGCUCAACCAUAGAAUUGCCGUUGAAACUGGGAGGCUUGAGUAUGUUUGAGGCAGGCGGAAUGCGUGGUGUAGCGGUGAAAUGCUUAGAUAUCGCGCAGAACCCCGAUUGCGAAGGCAGCCUGCCAAGCCAUGACUGACGCUGAUGCACGAAAGCGUGGGGAUCAAACAGGAUUAGAUACCCCAGUAGUC